AUGGCCUUGAUCUUGGGUUUGUUGCCACAGCUCUGCGGUGGAACUUCUAUUGAAGGGUCCUCGACCCACAGACCCAGAAGUGGAACACGUUAGAAAUGAAAAACGCUCGUUCCCGCCUCCUUUCGAGAUGGAGAGUUUAUGUCAACAUCAACACAUUCACUUAUUGCCUGCAAUCUGACGAGUUUCGCUGUUCCCGGUCAACUCCGGACGUAGGCGAUGCGGCCGUUUUAUAACUUCAGGAAUUUUGCCAUACAUUUAGCUGUUAUCCUGGCUAUUAUGGUCCACCAUUCUUUAGCCUUUUUCUGGCCUGAAGCAUAUCAUCAUCCAAUUUAUUACCGAAGAUUUGGAUUUCCAUCCAGACCUUUGAAGCAUGGACCUACACCAAAGUUCGACAAGGAUGUCCAAGACAGAAUUCGAUCUUUCAUCGAUCCCUUUUACAUUCCAACUACUCCAUCUUACGAAGACAUUCGACCAUAUUUCAGAGACAAAGGCAUUGAUUAUCCUGAUCUCACAGCUCUGCACCCGAAUGUCAUAGGAAGGUAGCACGGGCGUGGAUGAUGUCAUAAUAUGUUAUUUCAAUUUUAAUGAGCUUUUUGUUGUUAAUCAUAUUUGUUUUUAUAAUUAGGAUAUUGUACAGAAACUAAUAUAUUUUUAAUAAACUGUUACAAUGUUAG
This is a long non-coding RNA of Stegodyphus dumicola, 674 nucleotides long. The record is from RefSeq and is a predicted model, not a curated record. NCBI's taxonomy places the organism in Eukaryota, Metazoa, Arthropoda, Arachnida, Araneae, Eresidae.